Long non-coding RNA from Amphibalanus amphitrite, 3199 nucleotides. RefSeq lists it as uncharacterized. The record is from RefSeq and is a predicted model, not a curated record. The transcript is spliced from 2 exons. Lineage: Eukaryota; Metazoa; Arthropoda; Thecostraca; Balanomorpha; Balanidae.
CAUUUGUCAUUUUGCAGUAAGUUUACUUUUUGCAGUAAAUUAGCUGUGGAUUAUAAUCGUAACGGCUGCGUCAUAACUGUACGCAUUUACGGGGGGCUGCAAAAAGCCGGCGGAUUCUGUCACGCGGCGGCUGUCUCCAUUGUAAAUCCCCAUUGCCUGGCCGUGGAGUUGGCGAGAGGCCGGCGGAUUGUCACGCCGGCUGUGACAGUUUGUGACAGUGUGUUUUGAGUGUCUUAGCCGGGCUAGGGAGGUGAGGUGAGGCAGUAUGGGAUCCAACAGCAUUACUACGGCUGCGCGGGCAAGAUGUGCGGGCUGUUUGUGUGACCCCAGCACAAGAUGUAUGCUGUGGAUAGUAUUAUUUAUAGUUCAAUCAGUCUUGAAGCAUGUGGAUGUAAGAUGAAGACGAGCAAUAGCCAAAAACAGAGCCUUGAGGGUCUUGGCCGGAGGACGCGCCUCCUGCAGGAUCUGGGCCGGAGGACGCACCGCCAGCAGGGUCGGCGACGGAGGACGCACCACUAGCAGGGUUGGCGUCGGAGGACUGUACGGAGGACUCGCCGCCAGCAGGGUCUGGACCGGAGGACUGGACGGAGGACUCGCCGCCAGCAGGGUCAGCGUCGGAGGACGCACCGCCAGCAGGCUCUGGACCGGAGGACUCGCCGCCAGCAGGGUCGGCGUCGAAGGACCGGACAGUCGUUCUGAGGAUACAGGGACGACUUAAUCACAAGGACGCAUUUAGCGGAAUAUUGUACAGACUCAGAGACAUAUGACGAUUGGGGAGUGAGAAGUGAUGUUUGACACGAGCCAUAUUGUGCGAGCACUAUUUGAUAUUUAAGGAAGGACAUAUAAUGACUCGGAACCAAUAGGAAGGGACCUGACUUCGUUAUUCUCUACAUAGGUUUGCUUCGUUACACACCGGUCACUUCUUGCCAGCAUAGGUAUGCACAUGGGCGUAGGAACGGCUGGAACAUUGUGGGUGCAUGGGUGCAGAAAUCCAGCCAUGGUCGGUGAAGCGGGGGGGGGGGGGUAGGGAGCGAUACCCGAGCGAAGGAUCGUUCGUUACGAGCUUUGAGGGUGUACCAUGUCGAAAAAAGGUACCGACCGAUAAGUGCAUUUGCGAAGCAUUGACCCUCGCAUGUGUAGGGGGUCGUUUUUUGUAGGGGGUGUAGUUUUACACCUACUCUGAAAAUUUCAUGACCCUGACCUAAAAGACCUUUGACCUGUGACCUGAUUCUCGAGACCAUGUUCGGCCGGAAUCGCGAUUUGGCGUAUGUCAGCUCACAUUAUCUGCGCGUUUCCAGUCUUUUUGUGAUUGUAGACGUCCAAACGUGUGAAAUGAUGUUCUUCCCAUGCAUCACGGUGGGUGUGAAGGUCACCUGAAGGUCAGGUCAGGUCAUUGAUCUUUGAUGACCUCGGUUCACUUUUUCGAGUUUUACAUGUUACUACGGUAGUUUAUCGGGCUGAUUUAGAAUUUAGCAUCCAUUUGAACGUUUACGAAGUAGUUUUAGUGCCUUCGUAACAUGCUACGACGCCGUCAGUGGUAGUUGACACUUACUAUGGAUAGCCGGUAGGACGCCUAAUGGUUGACCUGACCUGACCUGACCCGAUCUAGCCUAAACGCAUGAAGAAAUCAUCUGUGAUCAAAACUAACAUUGUAGUUGCCCUCUAGCUAUAGCAGCAGUCUAGCGCCGGCAGUCACGCUAUAGCAGCGGUUUAGCGUUCGAUCGUCGCGACAUCUAUAUUAGUUAAGCGCCGAUAGUCACGCUAUAGCAGCAGUUUGGCGUUCGAUCGUCGCGACAUCUAUAUUGACCGAGUGUGAUUACGCGUGGGUAUUUACAAGUACUCGAAUGUGGCAGGUACCUACUUUAAAUACUCGAAUACCAUUCUGAUGAAUAUUUCCACGGUUUUCUUUGAAUGCUAUGAACAAUAUUUUGUACAACGUUUUCCGAAACAAAUAAUUCUGCGUUUUGUGUUUCACGUUUUCGAAUCUAAGAACCUAAAACAUUGUGACGUGUCAGCAUUUUCGGUAUGAUAGUGGUGGGCACUGUCGUGUUCCUGCCACGCCCGUUUUGUGCGGCCGACAUUCUUGUUCAGGAUUGUUUCUGAGGAUGGUUUGAUUUCCCUGGCGCUAAUGAGUGAGUUUAGGAAGUGAAAUCUUGCAUAACUCUAUGUGGAUUGAAUCAGAUAAAUGCCCGUUGUUGAUGGUGAUAUGAAACUAGCAGAUUUACCGUGAUCUCUGUCUGAUAUCAGCACUUGAACUCUGCGCUGGAUUUGUAUUUGUUUGCCGCAUUUCAUGUAUGUAGAGCUAAAGGUCCGCGAUAAGGCCUAGAAACUAGAAAGUAUUUUGAGAAUGUUAUUUUGUUUAAGGCUGUGAAUGUUUACUUUAAUGAAAAACAAUAUCAAAUUCUUAUCUGUAUUCAAUGUAAACGCGUUUCGAUUAUUUCUUUAUCAAUACAUUGAUACAAUACAGAUAAUGAAAACACACGAUUCAAUGUGGGUGAACGCGAGCGAUGAGAUUGAUAUUUCAAACAUUAUGACCUAUUCACGUGGCAAAACUUUCUGUUCCCUCCAUAAAAUUCCCUCCAUAGAAAGUUUUGCCACGUGAAUAGGUCAUAAUGUUUGAAAUAUCAAUCUCAUCGCUCGCGUUCACCCACAUUGAAUCGUGUGUUUUCAUUAUCUGUAUUGUAUCAAUGUAUUGAUAAAGAAAUAAUCGAAACGCGUUUACAUUGAAUACAGAUAAGAAUUUGAUAUUGUUUUUCAUUAAAGUAAACAUUUGUCAAAAUGAACAAUAUACAAAGGCUGUGAAUAUCCAAGCCAAAGGUGUUUCAGGUUUGUCCGUGUUUGAGUACCAAACUGAUAACUUUGUUUCUGCAGGAAUAAUAUGAAGAGACUGUUUCGACCGUGUGUCAGAGGGAAUCAGCCCCCCAGUUAGUCCGGCAUGAGGUGCACACAGUCAGUAAGUUUAACCGAUUGAACUGGUCGUUUUCAGUCUUAUGAUAGUAUGUGCCUAGUAUGUGCUACUUGCAGUCGAAAUGUGUCAAGGACGAACGAGUAUGGGUCAUGUCAAGGUCUAAUCGUCAGAUCGAGUGUGGCUCAGUUGUUGUGUUAGGGAAGAGCUCACUGCUGCUAUAUGUGACGAUUGUUCUGACGUGUUGCAGAAACGGAUCUAUAGACAAGAUGAAUACAAGGUCCUGUGUUUGAC